UACGUAGGGUGCAAGCGUUGUCCGGAAUUAUUGGGCGUAAAGAGCUCGUAGGCGGUCUGUCGCGUCGAAUGUGAAAACCCGGGGCACAACCCCGGGCCUGCAUUCGAUACGGGCAGACUAGAGUUCGGUAGGGGAGUCUGGAAUUCCUGGUGUAGCGGUGAAAUGCGCAGAUAUCAGGAGGAACACCGGUGGCGAAGGCGGGACUCUGGGCCGAUACUGACGCUGAGGAGCGAAAGCGUGGGGAGCAAACAGG
Molecule: ribosomal RNA, 253 nt
Filed under: uncultured bacterium
Lineage: Bacteria
Description: partial 16S ribosomal RNA
Rfam family: Bacterial small subunit ribosomal RNA
Source: RNAcentral